RNAcentral lists this ribosomal RNA (497 nucleotides) under uncultured bacterium. Its description in RNAcentral is "partial 16S ribosomal RNA". It matches the Rfam family "Bacterial small subunit ribosomal RNA", at positions 28 to 507 of the family's 1533-position model. The record is from RNAcentral.
GAUGAACGCUGGCGGCGUGCCUAAUACAUGCCAGUCGAGCGAACGGACGAGAAGCUUGCUUCUCUGAUGUUAGCGGCGGACGGGUGAGUAACACGUGGAUAACCUACCUAUAAGACUGGGAUAACUUCGGGAAACCGGAGCUAAUACCGGAUAAUAUUUUGAACCGCAUGGUUCAAAAGUGAAAGACGGUCUUGCUGUCACUUAUAGAUGGAUCCGCGCUGCAUUAGCUAGUUGGUAAGGUAACGGCUUACCAAGGCAACGAUGCAUAGCCGACCUGAGAGGGUGAUCGGCCACACUGGAACUGAGACACGGUCCAGACUCCUACGGGAGGCAGCAGUAGGGAAUCUUCCGCAAUGGGCGAAAGCCUGACGGAGCAACGCCGCGUGAGUGAUGAAGGUCUUCGGAUCGUAAAACUCUGUUAUUAGGGAAGAACAUAUGUGUAAGUAACUAUGCACAUCUUGACGGUACCUAAUCAGAAAGCCACGGCUAACUACGUG